RNAcentral lists this transfer RNA (75 nucleotides) under Candidatus Bathyarchaeota archaeon. Its description in RNAcentral is "tRNA-Val". It matches the Rfam family "tRNA". Rfam says of the family: Transfer RNA (tRNA) molecules are approximately 80 nucleotides in length. The record is from RNAcentral. Lineage: Archaea; Thermoproteati; Candidatus Bathyarchaeota. RNAcentral also lists the same sequence under 1 other name.
GGGCCGGUGGUCCAGCCUGGUUAAGACGCCGCGUUCACACCGCGGAGAUCCCCGGUUCGAAUCCGGGCCGGCCCA